This 601-nucleotide ribosomal RNA is filed under the name uncultured bacterium. RNAcentral describes it as "bacterial SSU rRNA". It matches the Rfam family "Bacterial small subunit ribosomal RNA", at positions 338 to 1414 of the family's 1533-position model. The record is from RNAcentral.
CCUACGGGAGGCAGCAGUGGGGAAUCUUGCGCAAUGGGCGAAAGCCUGACGCAGCAACGCCGCGUGCGGGAAGAAGGCUUUCGGGCUGUAAACCGCUUUCAGCAGGAACGAAAAUGACGGUACCUGCAGAAGAAGGAGCGGCCAACUAUGUGCCAGCAGCCGCGGUGAUACAUAGGCUUCAAGCGUUGUCCGGAUUUAUUGGGCGUAAAGAGUUCGUAGGCGGUCGAGUAAGUCGGGUGUGAAAAUUCUGGGCUCAACCCAGAGACGCCACCCGAUACUGCUUGACUUGAGUUCGAUAGGGGAGUGGGGAAUUCCUAGUGUAGCGGUGAAAUGCGCAGAUAUUAGGAGGAACACCGGUGGCGAAGGCGCCACUCUGGAUCGAUACUGACGCUGAGGAACGAAAGCAUGGGUAGCAAACAGGAUUAGAUACCCUGGUAGUCCAUGCCGUAAACGGUGGGCACUAGGUGUGGGUUUCUAUUAACGAAAUCCGCGCCGUCGCUAACGCAUUAAGUGCCCCGCCUGGGGGAGGUACGGUCGCAGACUAAACUACAAGAAGUAGACGGCGUGAGACGUGCCGAACGGACGACGACGAGGGAGUAGG